AUUUGCCAUUUUUCAAUGUGAAUAGGUUUCCCAUCAUGCACUAUUAUGCCAUUAAUUCUGCGGACGGAAGAGGGGACGGAAGGCAAAUGGAACACUUGGCUCGGCUUUUAUCAAGGAGGAUGGUGACGUGAAUGUAGUUACAUCAUGGAGCUGUAUAGCUCCAUGGUUGCAUGGAUGAAGAACAUGUAUGAUGGCAUGCCACACCUUUGUAUAAAAUCACAGAGAGUGGCUAUGAGCAGCAUGUGAUUCUCUGGACCCCACUGUUGCAUUAUCUUCAAUUUUGAUGGUCGAGGUGUCCACGAUAUGUGUGGGUUGGUCUCUCUUCUUUCACAAAUGAUCAGAACUAACUUCUGACACAGAAGGGGUGAAGCACCGAAUGAAGGCAAGUUCAAACCUGUACGCCUUUAAAUAGAGCAAGUGUCUAAACUGUCGAAUUUGAAAAUGUCAGAUUUGUUUCAUCUUCUGACCCAUUUCGGAUCUGUAAGAGGAGUAUGCUUCUGUGGCUUCAGAAGAUCAGCCAAAAGCAAAACUUCAAACCGUGAAAAUAAGCAUGCAAAAUAAGCAUAAAAAAGACUCCGUGCACAAGUACAAGGGACUAUUAGAACUACU
This is a long non-coding RNA of Patiria miniata (bat star), 609 nucleotides long. RefSeq lists it as uncharacterized. Lineage: Eukaryota; Metazoa; Echinodermata; Asteroidea; Valvatida; Asterinidae. The transcript is spliced from 4 exons. The record is from RefSeq and is a predicted model, not a curated record.